UCCAGCAACUUCAUUUUUUAAAAAAAAUCUAACAACCAGAAUUCUAAAAUCAGCAGUUAAUUCACACAACCAGUGCAACUCCAAACAUUGGUGUAUUUUGUGAUUCUUAAACAAAAGAGAACAUGUUCAUGUUGGAAGAAAAAACCCUGGGUUUUUCUACAAGGAGGAAGCAGAAAGAAGAAAACAGACUAGCAUUUCAAAGCAGGGGCCCAGAAUGUUAAAUCUGAAGAAAGCACACAGCAAUUCUCAGAUACAGCUAUAUACAUACAACAAUAACAACAAUGAAAACAACAAAGAAGAUCAGUGAAGAAAUGCAUCACAUCAUUUACCCAUACAGUUCAGAAUGCACCCAUCAGAACUUAUUAGUUAUGAAUGAAUAAAUGAAUAAUUAACAUA
Pantherophis guttatus is the source of this 396-nucleotide long non-coding RNA. RefSeq lists it as uncharacterized. The record is from RefSeq and is a predicted model, not a curated record. NCBI's taxonomy places the organism in Eukaryota, Metazoa, Chordata, Lepidosauria, Squamata, Colubridae.